Molecule: transfer RNA, 72 nt
Filed under: Armatimonadota bacterium
Lineage: Bacteria; Bacillati; Armatimonadota
Also listed under: 2 other names
Description: Armatimonadetes bacterium (activated sludge metagenome) tRNA-Cys
Rfam family: tRNA
About the family: Transfer RNA (tRNA) molecules are approximately 80 nucleotides in length.
Source: RNAcentral
GGUGGCAUAGCCAAGUGGUAAGGCAGAGGCCUGCAAAGCCUCCAUUCCCCAGUUCGAAUCUGGGUGCCACCU